CCUACGGGUGGCAGCAGUGGGGAAUAUUGGGCAAUGGAGGCAACUCUGCCCCAGCAACGUCGCGUGAAUGAUGAAGGCCCUCGGAUUGUUACGCUUCUUUCUAAUGGAAGUAGACAGUGACGGUACUUCACGUUUAAGUCUCGGCUAUGCACGUGCCAGCAGCCGCGGUAAUACGGCGGAGGCAAGCGUUAUCCGGAGUGACUGGUUGUAAAGGGUGCUUAGGUGGUGUGACAAGUCAGUAGGGAAAGUCCGGAGCUCAACUUCGGAAAUACUGCUGAAACUGUCGGGCUUGAGUGCAGGAGAGGCAAUCGGAAUUCGUGGUGUAGCGGUGAAAUGCGUAGAUAUUAGGAGGAACGCCAGUGGCGAAGGCAGAUUGCUAGACUGUAACUGACACUGAGGCACGAAAGCGUGGGGAGCAAACAGGAUUAGAUACCCUUGUAGUC
RNAcentral lists this ribosomal RNA (443 nucleotides) under uncultured bacterium. RNAcentral's name for it is "partial 16S ribosomal RNA". It matches the Rfam family "Bacterial small subunit ribosomal RNA", at positions 338 to 795 of the family's 1533-position model. The record is from RNAcentral.